Dreissena polymorpha is the source of this 2345-nucleotide long non-coding RNA. RefSeq lists it as uncharacterized. The transcript has 2 exons. NCBI's taxonomy places the organism in Eukaryota, Metazoa, Mollusca, Bivalvia, Myida, Dreissenidae. The record is from RefSeq and is a predicted model, not a curated record.
CUACUGUCUCCCUUCAGAUAUUGCUUUCAUAUUUGGUAUGCAUGUGUAUAGGGAUAAUACACGUUUUCGAGGGCAUGAUCAUCUGCGGGCGCUCGAAAAAUCCGUUUCAGGAACGGAUUUGAGAGCGCCCGCAGAUGAUAAUGUCCGAUAAAAUGUGUACAUAUGCCUCACUCGGUCAUCAUCAGAAAUGACGAGGCUUUACCGGAGGCAGUUUUUGAUUUAAAAUGUGUUUAAACAGUGGAUUUAUGCAAAGUUUAAAUGCAGCCGCGCAAAGUAAGAAAUGGGGAAUUAUUUUGAAAUUUACUGGUCGUGACGGAUAAAUAUAUCGUCAGAAUAAGUCAUUGUUUUCAUAGAUGUUUCUUUCGUACAGGUCUAUCUUAGUAAGUUAUUUCGUUCCAAGUAAUUUUUUCUAAAAAUGUAUACUUCCAACCUAUUGUCACUGAAGUAUUUCAAGCAUACAGCAGGAACGUUGAAGGUACAUAAACACUAACAUAAAUAUAUCGUCAGAAUAAGUCAUUGUUUUCAUACUAGAUGUUUCUUUCGUACAGGUCUAUCUUAUUUCGUUCCAACUAAAUUUUCGAAAAAUGAAUACUGCCAACAUAUUCAUGGUAUUGUCACUGAAGUAUUUCAAGCAUACAGCAGGAACGUUGACGGUACAUAAACACUUACAUUUACAGCAUAGUCUUUUGAAAGUGUUGAGUAAAUAAAAUUGACGUUGCCAAUAGAACAAAAAUGUUGACUGUUGUCAAGAGAGUGCAGCUGGUAUAAUUUGAAAGUGGAUUGAAAUAUUCAUUUUCUUUAUCCCUGCAUGCAUGAGGAAACUGGUGCUUAUUCAGUUCCACAUUUAUUCUUGGAAAGUCGUCGAAGGCUGGAGUUAUAAACAAAGUUCAUAAUGACUUCAUAUCCAGCCAUUACGAAGGGAAGUAACUGCGCGUGGACCACUUAAUGGAUAUGAAAAACACAUAACAGGGCUUAAACGGCACGUGAAUCGCCUUGUUAAUACACGAUUUCUCCCGUUCAAACCCUCCUUUUGCCAAGAUUCGUCACCCCGCCAGAGUGCAUACUAGAUAGAGUUUAUGCAAUAAUAUCUGGACAACACCUUUACAUGCGCAUAAAUGUUUGACCCCUGUGACAUUGACCUUGAACUUGUGAUCAGCGUUAAGGUUUCGAAAUCUGCGACCGCGAUUCAAAAAAGCUCAUAACGUCUGUGUCCCUUCAGAUAAAAUUGCUUUCAUAUUUGGUACGUAUGUGUAUCUGGACAAGACUUUUUCAUGUGCAUAAAUAUUUGACCCCUGUGACCUUGACCUUGAACUUAGGGUCCGCGUUUAGAUUUUAAAAUAUAUAAUGUGGUUAUCUCUGCCGUCUGUGCGUCCGUCCUUCCGUCCUGGCCACUAUCUCCUCCUACACUUUUAGCACUAGAAAAUUGAAACUUACACACAUCGUAGCUAUGGGCAUAUGUGCGACAGUGCAGUAUUUGGAAUUUUGAUCUUACCCCUGGGUCAAAAGUUAUGGGGGUUGGGGUGGGGCCGGAUCAGAGAUUUUCACUCAUUGUUUAGGUUAUUUUACAUUGACUUGUUCAUUUCUACACCCAUUUACUUCAAAUUGAUACGAAAAUCUCUUAUAACAAUACGGUUAAUCUUAACUAUGCAUGGCCCCAUUACCAAACCUGGGGCGCCCCUGGAUCAAAUAUGCGGCGUUGGGAUACGCGUCGGCCUCUGCCGCGCCAUUUCUAGUUUAUAUUGUAUUUAACGUAUCUUAUGAUUUUGCUAACGUAUCUUACAUUACUAUCUGAACUCCACCUUGGGUAUAUCAGAAAGAAUACAGUGAUAGGGAGAUAAUUUGAAUGUGUAUGACCUUCAGGGACAUGGUACUUUUAAUAAUUAGACAUGUUAUAGUAAUAUGAGCUAGAUACCUUCAUGAAAUGCGCAAUGACCUAAAGCAGUUUGUUUACAAUAAACUGCACAAUCUGUGUUUCAUCGAGAAUGUAGACUUUAAUAAACGUAUACUAAUCCCAUUAAUGAAGACCGCUGUCUUUUUUUCUAAUUUACCAUAUCUAAUAGCUGUCACUUUGUUAGUACAUGAUCUUUUCUUGGCACUGUAUACAGUAAAGAUGAUAAAAAUAAUCACAAAAAUUAUAAUAAAAAAAAACUUGACAACGAGAGUGCUCCUACUGUUAGAUUUCAUACGAUUUUAUAUUCAUCACAUUUAUUUAAAAUUCAUUGUGAUCUUAUUUGAUUAUACCGGUAUAUGACUACCAAUGCGCUACUUAUUAUGUUAGACUUCUGGCAUACAGAGUUUGAUAAUGAUGUAACUUGAUUCUUUUACAGAAUAAACAAUGAACUAAU